AGAUUGAACGCUGGCGGCAGGCCUAACACAUGCAAGUCGAGCGGUAGAGAGGUGCUUGCACCUCUUGAGAGCGGCGGACGGGUGAGUAAUGCCUAGGAAUCUGCCUAGUGGUGGGGGAUAACGUUCGGAAACGGACGCUAAUACCGCAUACGUCCUACGGGAGAAAGCGGGGGACCUUCGGGCCUCGCGCCAUUAGAUGAGCCUAGGGUCGAUUAGCUAGUUGGUGAGGUAAUGGCUCACCAAGGCGACGAUCCGUAAUGGUCUGAGAGGAUGAUCAGUCACAUGGAAUGAGACACGGUCCAGACCUCCGUACGGGACGGCAGCGAAGGUGGGGAAUAGUUAGGACGAAGU
RNAcentral lists this ribosomal RNA (351 nucleotides) under uncultured soil bacterium. Its description in RNAcentral is "bacterial SSU rRNA". It matches the Rfam family "Bacterial small subunit ribosomal RNA", at positions 26 to 376 of the family's 1533-position model. The record is from RNAcentral.